This 155-nucleotide non-coding RNA is filed under the name Candidatus Peregrinibacteria bacterium. RNAcentral describes it as "6S RNA". It matches the Rfam family "6S / SsrS RNA". Rfam says of the family: E. coli 6S RNA was the first non coding RNA to be sequenced, but its function was unknown until recently. It consists of 184 nucleotides that fold into an extended hairpin structure with a large single-stranded internal bulge. The record is from RNAcentral. Lineage: Bacteria; Candidatus Peregrinibacteriota.
GUGUUGCUGGAACAUACGCUACUCGCCAUUAUUUUUUCUACAAAUCAUUAAUAAGGGAAUCUAAUAUUUUUUCUGACUGUGGUCGGAAAGUGCGGAUACCCACCUUGCUUAACAGGGAUAAUGAUUCUGGCGGUGGUCGGUGUUUUGGCAUAAGU